RNAcentral lists this ribosomal RNA (425 nucleotides) under uncultured bacterium. RNAcentral describes it as "partial 16S ribosomal RNA". It matches the Rfam family "Bacterial small subunit ribosomal RNA", at positions 354 to 796 of the family's 1533-position model. The record is from RNAcentral.
GUGAGGAAUUUUGCGCAAUGGGCGAAAGCCUGACGCAGCCAUGCCGCGUGAAUGAUGAAGGUCUUAGGAUUGUAAAAUUCUUUCACCGGGGACGAUAAUGACGGUACCCGGAGAAGAAGCCCCGGCUAACUUCGUGCCAGCAGCCGCGGUAAUACGAAGGGGGCUAGCGUUGCUCGGAUUUACUGGGCGUAAAGGGCGCGUAGGCGGACAUUUAAGUCAGGGGUGAAAUCCCGGGGCUCAACCUCGGAACUGCCUUUGAUACUGGGUGUCUUGAGUAUGAGAGAGGUGUGUGGAACUCCGAGUGUAGAGGUGAAAUUCGUAGAUAUUCGGAAGAACACCAGUGGCGAAGGCGACACACUGGCUCAUUACUGACGCUGAGGCGCGAAAGCGUGGGGAGCAAACAGGAUUAGAAACCCGAGUAGUCC